UAUACAAUGUAGAGUUUGAUCCUGGCUCAGGAUGAACGCUAGCUACAGGCUUAACACAUGCAAGUCGUGGGGCAGCGGAUGCUUAGCUUGCUAAGUAUGCCGGCGACCGGCGCACGGGUGAGUAACGCGUACCGAACCUGCCCAUCACACAGGGAUAGGCUUGCGAAAGCAAGAUUAAUACCUGAUGGUCUCAGUUGUAUGCAUGUAUGAUUGAGUAAAGCCUUCGGGCGGUGAUGGAUGGCGGUGCGUCCCAUUAGGAAGUUGGCGGGGUAACGGCCCACCAAUCCUUCGAUGGGUAGGGGU
Molecule: ribosomal RNA, 303 nt
Filed under: Prevotella sp.
Lineage: Bacteria; Pseudomonadati; Bacteroidota; Bacteroidia; Bacteroidales; Prevotellaceae
Description: partial 16S ribosomal RNA
Rfam family: Bacterial small subunit ribosomal RNA
Source: RNAcentral